This is a small RNA of Phaeobacter gallaeciensis, 73 nucleotides long. It matches the Rfam family "Singlet oxygen resistance RNA X". From Rfam's summary of the family: SorX (RSs2461)like SorY is a singlet oxygen induced sRNA that counteracts oxidative stress by targeting mRNA for a transporter in Rhodobacter. It also has an impact on resistance against organic hydroperoxides. The record is from Rfam. NCBI's taxonomy places the organism in Bacteria, Pseudomonadati, Pseudomonadota, Alphaproteobacteria, Rhodobacterales, Roseobacteraceae.
AUCCCGCGCAUAUCCGGGUCAUGAUAUGCACCUCCCUGUUGGACUGGGCCGGGCCUUGCGCCCGGCCUUUUUU